UUGAAUCCUCCUAACUACCCAAGAUGAAAUUAAGGUCUUGAUGAUCUUCCAUGAUGAAAUUUGAGAAGAGCCCAAUAAUUUAAUGCGGAAGAGUGAGUGAAAUGGGAGAGUGGGUAAGUUGCGGCGCUGUUGAAGAGAGGAAGAGGAAUGGGGUGUGCGGCUGUUGAGGUCGCUGUGAUCAGUAUGGUCUGCUCGAUUAGGAUAAAUGUUAGCUCUUUGCUCUUUCUGGAAGCACCUAUCUGUAGCAACAUCUGUACACCGACUCUGGCAGACAAUCAAGAUUUUGUUGAAACAGAAGAAAAGAAGAGGAGGGAAACGGGAAGAAUUUCAUUGUUAUUCAAGUCAGCACGGGUGGGUGAUGUUCGAUUUGAACAGAAAUCGAGUAAAUUGAUCAUCCCAGGUACUCUACCGUGGCUUCUAAUUUGUUUCAUUUAUUCUCUGUUAGUUGGUUCCCCAAGGCUGGUGAUUGAAGCAGAGCAUAGAUACGCUUCGUAUUUGUUACAACUUGAUUGGUUGUUAUAAAUUGCAGACCACGAUCCAGGUGCAAUUUUCCUUUCCACUACAGUUAAUCAAUUCUCAGCUUUUAGUAUUACAUUUUGAUAUUUUACAUUUAACCCAGAAAGACAAAACCCGUGUAGGUAUUCAAGCUUUGUUGCCUAUAUAUGUUAUUUUUUUGUCAAAGUGGGUUCAUUUGGCUUUGUAUAUUGAAGCUUACUUGACAAAGGUUUCUGCGUUUUUACAGUUCGAGAUCUGGAAUUGUGGGUUUCAUACCUUGGUUUUGGAUAAGGAAUGCCGAAGUACAAAGAGCCAAUGGAAGAGAUGAGUUUUGCAGGCAAUGGAAGUCUUGCUUUAUAUAUAAACACGAAACCCAAACCAACAACCAAGGCCUCUCCAUUUCCAGCUUAUAAGGCUUCUGAGGUUGCUGCGGUGACAUGCUAUGAUAGUUACUUUUCCAUUUGCCCAUUUGUUGAUAACAUCCCAUGUAUUUCAACUAAUUAUCGUCUACAAGUUCGCUUCAAUUCACUGC
Rosa rugosa (rugosa rose) is the source of this 1027-nucleotide RNA transcript. RefSeq lists it as uncharacterized. Lineage: Eukaryota; Viridiplantae; Streptophyta; Magnoliopsida; Rosales; Rosaceae. The record is from RefSeq and is a predicted model, not a curated record. The transcript is spliced from 5 exons.